AAAGAAGAACAUGCGUUUCAAGGUACCAUGGAUUUUAAAGACCAUGGAUUUGCUUAAAACUUGUGGGUUUUUAAAAAAARCUUUAAAAAGAAAUGACUAAAAAGCUUUUCCAGUGAUUUAAGAUGAUACCGGGGAAGGUUUUCCGGUUUAUCCCGGAGGGCUUGUAGCUCAGUCGGUUAGAGCGCGCGCUUGAUAAGCGUGAGGUCGGAGGUUCAAGUCCUCCCAGGCCCACCAAUUUAGGAUUGCUUAACCCACUAAAGACCCUCUCUAUAAGAAAAAUAUCUAUCGUUGGAGAAAGCUCUUUAUAGUCUAGAGUUAUCAAUAAAGUAUAGUCUAGAGUUAUCAAUAAAGUGUUCGGUGAAAUAUAAAAUAUAUUUUGCGAAAAUAAUGACAAUAAUAAAGCUCUUGACAGUAUAAAACUACUGACGGAUUGUCGCUUUAAGGGUUUUGAAGCGUUUUCUUUUAGGGGCCGUAGCUCAGCUGGGAGAGCACCUGCUUUGCAAGCAGGGGGUCG
This 514-nucleotide unclassified non-coding RNA is filed under the name Bartonella sp. Its description in RNAcentral is "partial 16S-23S ribosomal RNA intergenic spacer". The stretch from base 158 to 231 matches the Rfam family "tRNA". The record is from RNAcentral. Lineage: Bacteria; Pseudomonadati; Pseudomonadota; Alphaproteobacteria; Hyphomicrobiales; Bartonellaceae.